GAUGAACGCUAGCGGCAGGCUUAAUACGUGCAAGUCGAACGGUAAGGUCUCUUCGGAGAUACACGAGUGGCGCACGGGUGCGUAACGCGUACGCAACCUACCUUUAACUGGGAAAUAGCCCCGAGAAAUCGGGAUUAAUGUCCCAUAUUAUUCUUUGAAUACCUAUUCGAGGAAUGAAAGCUCCGGCGGUUAUUGAUGGGCAUGCGUGACAUUAGCUAGUUGGUGAGGUAACGGCUCACCAAGGCAACGAUGUCUAGGGGUCCUGAGAGGGUUAACCCCCACACUGGUACUGAGACACGGACCAGACUCCUACGGGAGGCAGCAGUAAGGAAUAUUGGGCAAUGGACGCAAGUCUGACCCAGCCAUGCCGCGUGAAGGAUGAAUGUCCUAUGGAUUGUAAACUUCUAUUAUGCAGGAAAAAUAUCCCGGUCGUGAACCGGGACUGAUGGUACUGUAUGAAUAAGCAUCGGCUAGCUCCGUGCCAGCCGCCGCAGUAA
Molecule: ribosomal RNA, 497 nt
Filed under: uncultured bacterium
Lineage: Bacteria
Description: partial 16S ribosomal RNA
Rfam family: Bacterial small subunit ribosomal RNA
Source: RNAcentral